This is a transfer RNA of Volvox carteri f. nagariensis, 72 nucleotides long. It matches the Rfam family "tRNA". From Rfam's summary of the family: Transfer RNA (tRNA) molecules are approximately 80 nucleotides in length. Lineage: Eukaryota; Viridiplantae; Chlorophyta; Chlorophyceae; Chlamydomonadales; Volvocaceae. The record is from Rfam.
GGGAGUUUGGUCUAGUGGUAUGAUUUUCGCUUAGGGUGCGAGAGACCGUGGGUUCAAUUCCCGCAACUCCCC